This 1237-nucleotide long non-coding RNA is filed under the name Bos indicus x Bos taurus (hybrid cattle). RNAcentral describes it as "lncRNA (ENSBIXG00000009831.1)". Lineage: Eukaryota; Metazoa; Chordata; Mammalia; Artiodactyla; Bovidae. The record is from RNAcentral.
AUGCCAUCUCCCCUUCGAACUCCCUGGAUCAGCCGGGGCUGGACCUCGGCAGGUGGCACCCAAGACAGGCGAUUCCAAGGUGCCAUGGCCCACAGCCUGCCGCUCGCGUUCUGCCUUCUGAUGCUGGAGACACUGUGCCCCCAGGCUGACGUCUACAGCUGCUCCCUGGUUCAUCUUGUAUACACCCUCAAUAUAAUGUUUGCUCUUUUGUGGUGUUGUUGUGAACAAUGUAUGCUCUCAUCUUGUUUGAACCCUCAAUAUAAUGUUUGAUCCUUUGUAGUGUUACAACGUCUACCUUAUCUUAUGAUGUAACCACUUAUUGAAUUAUGGUCUUGCUAUAUUACAACGACUGCAGGAUUUUAUGUGAACAUGACGGUUUGUGGGCUUACUUACCUUGGGAAUAGCAGCUCUGAUAACUGCAAUUACUUCUGUUACUGUGGCAGCAAUAUCAUUGACUCAACAAGUACAUACUGCUCAAUAUGUUGAUACUAUGUCCAAAAAUGUUUCUUUAACAUUGGCAACACAGGAAGCUAUGGACAGGAAAUUAGAAAUGAGGGUAGACGCCCUGCUGCUGCUACUGCUAAGUCGCUUCAGUCGUGUCCGACUCUGUGCGACCCCAUUGACGGAAGCCCACCAGGCUCCCCCGUCCCUGGGAUUCUCCAGGCAAGAACACUGGAGUGGGUUGCCAUUUCCUUCUCCAAUGUGUGAAAGUGAACAGUGAAAGGGAAGUCGCUCAGUUGUGUCUGACUCUUAGCGACCCCCUAGAGGAGGCAAUAAUACAUAUUGGGACUGAAUUGCAGGCUUUAAAAGUGAAAAUGGCAUUGUCCUGUCAUGCUGACUACCGGUGGAUAUGUGUAACACCCCUGAAAGUAAAUGAGACAGAUUUUGACUGGGAAAAAAUUAAAAACCAUAUUUCAGGUGCCUAGAACAGCUCUGACAUUGGUUUAGAUUUAGGGAAACUUCACGAUCAAAUAGCAACCAUGGAACACUCCCGAUUAGAUUUUACUGCUGCUGGAGCAGCAAAUGACUUCUUCCACACUUUCUCUAACUUCAUUUCAGGAAAGAAUAUUCUGUCUACUGUUUUUAGCUAUGUUGCUGUGGCUGCUUUAAUUCUGCUUCUCAUAAUCAUUCUUCCUUGUAUUGUCAGAAUUCUUUGACAGAGCACUCAGAAGCUCACGACUGAACUGCAUCUGGCUGUUUUAAGAAAUAAAAAAGGGGGGAAUUCCGGGAGCCGGCA